GUGUCAGCCGCCGCGGUAAAACGUAGGAGCCAAGCGUUAUCCGAAUUCACUGGGCGUAAAGCGCAUGCAGGCGGUCCGGUAAGUUGGAUGUGAAAUCUCCCGGCUCAACUGGGAGAGGCCGUUCAAUACUGUUGGACUAGAGGGCGACAGAGGGAGGUGGAAUUCCGGGUGUAGUGGUGAAAUGCGUAGAUAUCCGGAGGAACACCAGAGGCGAAGGCGACCUCCUGGGUCGUACCUGACGCUCAGAUGCGAAAGCUAGGGGAGCGAACGGGAUUAGAUACCCCGGUAGUCC
This 292-nucleotide ribosomal RNA is filed under the name uncultured bacterium. RNAcentral describes it as "partial 16S ribosomal RNA". It matches the Rfam family "Bacterial small subunit ribosomal RNA", at positions 505 to 796 of the family's 1533-position model. The record is from RNAcentral.